ACGAACGCUGGCGGCGUGCUUAACCCCUGCAAGUCGAACGGAAAGGCCCUGCUUGCAGGGUACUCGAGUGGCGAACGGGUGAGUAACACGUGGGUGAUCUGCCCUGCACUUCGGGAUAAGCCUGGGAAACUGGGUCUAAUACCGGAUAGGAGCCAUUUUUAGUGUGAUGGUUGGAAAGUUUUUUCGGUGUAGGAUGAGCUCGCGGCCUAUCAGCUUGUUGGUGGGGUAAUGGCCUACCAAGGCGGCGACGGGUAGCCGGCCUGAGAGGGUGGACGGCCACAUUGGGACUGAGAUACGGCCCAGACUCCUACGGGAGGCAGCAGUGGGGAAUAUUGCACAAUGGGCGCAAGCCUGAUGCAGCGACGCCGCGGGGGGGAUGACGGCCUUCGGGUUGUAAACUCCUUUCGCUAGGGACGAAGCUUUUUGUGACGGUACCUAGAUAAGAAGCACCGGCUAACUACGUG
RNAcentral lists this ribosomal RNA (464 nucleotides) under uncultured bacterium. RNAcentral's name for it is "partial 16S ribosomal RNA". It matches the Rfam family "Bacterial small subunit ribosomal RNA", at positions 29 to 507 of the family's 1533-position model. The record is from RNAcentral.